This 253-nucleotide ribosomal RNA is filed under the name uncultured bacterium. RNAcentral's name for it is "partial 16S ribosomal RNA". It matches the Rfam family "Bacterial small subunit ribosomal RNA", at positions 524 to 776 of the family's 1533-position model. The record is from RNAcentral.
UACGGAGGGUGCAAGCGUUGUUCGGAUUUACUGGGCGUAAAGGGCGCGUAGGCGGCGCGGUAAGUCACUUGUGAAAUCUCUGAGCUUAACUCAGAACGGCCAAGUGAUACUGCAGUGCUAGAGUGUGGAAGGGGCAAUCGGAAUUCUUGGUGUAGCGGUGAAAUGCGUAGAUAUCAAGAGGAACACCUGAGGUGAAGACGGGUUGCUGGGCCAACACUGACGCUGAGGCGCGAAAGCCAGGGGAGCAAACGGG